GACGAACGCUGGCGGCGUGCUUAACACAUGCAAGUCGAACGGAAAGGCCCUGCUUUUGUGGGGUGCUCAAGUGGCGAACGGGUGAGUAACACGUGAGUAACCUGCCCUUGACUUUGGGAUAACUUCAGGAAACUGGGGCUAAUACCGGAUAGGAGCUCCUGCUGCAUGGUGGGGGUUGGAAAGUUUCGGCGGUUGGGGAUGGACUCGCGGCUUAUCAGCUUGUUGGUGGGGUAGUGGCUUACCAAGGCUUUGACGAGUAGCCGGCCUGAGAGGGUGACCGGCCACAUUGGGACUGAGAUACGGCCCAGACUCCUACGGGAGGCAGCAGUGGGGAAUAUUGCACAAUGGGCGGAAGCCUGAUGCAGCAACGCCGCGUGCGGGAUGACGGCCUUCGGGUUGUAAACCGCUUUCGCCUGUGACGAAGCGUGAGUGACGGUAAUGGGUAAAGAAGCACCGGCUAACUACGUG
This 468-nucleotide ribosomal RNA is filed under the name uncultured bacterium. RNAcentral describes it as "partial 16S ribosomal RNA". It matches the Rfam family "Bacterial small subunit ribosomal RNA", at positions 28 to 507 of the family's 1533-position model. The record is from RNAcentral.